CCCCCGAGCAUUUCGGUCCCUCGUGAUUCGACUUCUCUUUCUGUAGUUUUAGUAUAGUAAGGUGAGCGCUGAAGCGCUGCACGAAUCUUUCUUAGAAAGAUUCAGCGACGAAGUUCUGCCCCUGCAGAGCCCGACUCCUAGCUAAAAUCCCCUUGAAAGUUUCGUCAAAGGAAAUUAUUUUAAAGUAAACGAAGCGCUGUCCGAGUACCGAGUCACCACCUUCUCAGGUGUUGAUAUGAAGUCACAAUACACUGAGAGAUUUAAAGAGAUGUAGAUCACUAGUGUAAAUAAUUGUAAGUUCUGUUUAUGCUUAUGUUUCUGUAUUAACGAUGACAUCCCAAACGUUUUAAAAUGAAAUAAAUACGUUUCAUCGAAAAUGUUUUAAUAACGUAUUUACCAUGUUUUUCUGGGAACAAAUUCCGCAACAUUUUUAUAAAAUGAAGUACUCUGAUUUUUAUAAAGCAUAAACAAAAUCGGUCUUUUCUGGCCGUGAAAAUGGGGAUGUCACAGUUGGUAUCAGAGCAUUAGUUUAAGCGAACUAGGAAUAUGGAUUUAUUUCUAGACUUAAACUUAGAAUGCUAAGCGAUGAUUGUGAGGUGUGAGCACUAGCUUAUUUUAGGAAUUGUGCCUAAAAUGCUUUUAUGUGCUAAAUACUUGUGCCUGAUAUGCUGUUAGUUGUUCGGAUCUAUGGUCUGUUGCCGACCGGAUCUGGAAACCUUAUGUGUUUAGGAUUCUAAACGUACGACUACGAUAUUAGAACUAGCAUAUAAACGUUUCGGAGUGAUAAGGAUGAUUUAACCGUCAAUCCUAAGUAAAGAUCUGGAUUCACCUUAUUCGGUGUAUAGAUCAAGAUGGCAAGAACCCGUAGUGGAAACGUGAAUGCAAAUGGGAACGGACACCAACCCCCCGUGAUCGAGCAAAUACCAGUUGUGGAAGCCGCUGUCGGACCAAUAACGAUGGCCGGAGUGCAAGCGAUGAUCCAGGCAAUGUUGGAUCGUCAAAUGGAGGAAACUAGACGUUUGCUCCAGCAAAAUCAUGAGGAAGCCACUAUUCAGAUCGAACAGCCCGAGUUGAACGAAGGGCAGACUGAGGAAGGAAACUACAGUGGGACUGUUGGUCAAGUCAACCCACCAAUAGUUCGACAAAACAACCAAGAUGACAAAGUCGAGAGGAAUGGAUGCAAGUACAAGGAUUUUCUGACUUGCAAGCCAUCGACUUUCACUGGA
Molecule: non-coding RNA, 1226 nt
Organism: Lactuca sativa (garden lettuce)
Lineage: Eukaryota; Viridiplantae; Streptophyta; Magnoliopsida; Asterales; Asteraceae
Source: RefSeq, a predicted model, not a curated record